CCACAUAAAUAAGGUACAUAGUCCUCGAAUGGUGUAUCAUAAAUUAGUCCUGGAUCAUUUGCCCUAGAUGGAUUAACAUGUCCUGCACCGAUUGCAUAGAUGUCAGCAGGAAGGAGCCUUUCGUUUAGUAUUGGACUGUUGGCAAGGUUUAACGUGUCAGCAGUUGUCAUGAUUGCAGACUUAAUAGCAGCAGGAGACCAAUCAGGAUGUGUGCUCUUCAGCAGAGAUGCUACGCCACUAAGGUGAGGGCAAGACAUCGAGGUGCCUGAUAUAAUAUUGAAUGUAGAUUUGGUAUUUUUGUUGUCAUCCACGGAGGUAGGCCAAGCAGCAAGAAUAUUAACACCAGGACCGAUUAUAUCAGGUUUCAAGAUGCCAGGACUAGCUCUACUUGGUCCUCUUGAGGAAAAUGCAGCAACUAUAGGAGCAUUUUCGUCUCCAAUUAUUGUUCCUUGGAAUGUGAUUGUAGCAACUGGAUUUGAUGUUGAGUUCAUAUAAGCAAGGAUUUUUGUUCCAUCUGCAUCUGAAAUAUCCAAUGCUGGAAGAACAUGAGCAUCAGCUGAUUUAGUGACACCGUAAUAUGACCGGUUAAUGAUAAUCAUGCCAACACCUCCAGCAUCCUUUACAGCUUGUCCUUUAUCAACCCCCGGAACUCCACCACCGGCCAAACAUAUGACUAUAUUUCCUCUUAUAGCAGGGUCAGUAAGUGACCCUGGUCUGCAAUAAGGGGUUUCAAAUUCGUCACUUGCAUUUCUUCCAGCAUCAAAUAGAGUGAAGAAUGUUGAGUUGGAAAUCUUUGGCUGAUAAGCAGAUUCUCCUUCAAAUUCCUCUCCAUUUCCAAUCUUAACAGUAGCUUUUAGCUUUCUAUCAUGAGUGCUAGCGCCUACUGUAAGAAUCCACGGGGCUGCAUUUCCUACUGAGCCAGAGAAAGGACCAUUAUUGCCGGCAGAGCAACUUACAAGAAUACCUCUUUCUGUUGCACUAUAUGCCCCAAGAGCAAUAGGAUUACUAUGGAAAUCACUCGAACGACCUCCACCAAGAGAUAUAGAAAGGAUAUCUACGCCAUCAUCUAUAGCUGCAUCCAUAGCAGCUAAGACAUCAGUAUCAGCACAACCAUCAGAAUUGCAUACCUUAUAUACGGCUAUGUGGGCAAAAGGGGCAACACCAGCAGCAGUGCCAUUAGCACUCCCAAAUACAUUGGCACCAUUCACAAACGCUCCUGCUGCUGUGCUUGCUGUGUGUGUACCAUGUCCAUCAUCGUCUAUCGGGGAACCAUUGCCAAGUUGGUAAGACCUCGCUCCAAUGAGCUUGUUGUUACACUUGUUUGUGAAAUUGGACUCACAAACUCCUUUCCACUUAGCAGGCGGAGGUGGCAUCCCAAUGUCGCUAAAUGAAGGAUGGUCAGGAAGAAUUCCAGUGUCUAUAACUCCGAUGAUCACGCCUUUCCCAUAGUUGGAAUCCAUCCAUACACCAAUGUUCUGCUGCAAACCAAGAAAACUUGGAGUAUGAGUAGUAUCCAAGGACAAAAUCCUCUGUUUCUGAGCAGAGACAAAAGCCGUGUUUCUUCUCCAUUUCCUUCACUUGUGCUGCAGUUAAUCUUGCUGACAAAACCUUUCAUCACAUUGUGAUAGGAAUAGAUCAUGCUAGCAGCCUCUUCAUUUCCACUUGAGCUAAUCGCGGUAGUAGUUUUAGGCAAAAAAGAAAGGUAAUAGCUCUCUAAAUCGGUUAACGAUGAUUGAGUAGAAAUUAGGUUUUCAGGGGAUUCAACAUGGACUAUAUAAGUCUCGAAAUCACUCUGAAUAGUAGGCCAUGGGAAAGAACAAAAGAUGAAAACAAGAAGGAUUUUCAAGAAUCCCAUGGUAUAGUAAUAGUAUAUAAAAAUGUUAUGAUUGGAAAAUGAAUUUGAUGAAGUUUUGAGAUUAGAAGCUAUCUAUAUAGAUUUGAAAAUGAAUUUGAUGAACUAUACACAUUCAUUUUAUUUUGCUCCACUUGCAAAAUCAUAUUGAUGAACUCUGAGUGUGAUGUGUAUUGAUUGUUUUUAUGAAUAUCGAUGUUUAAGGAUUAUUUUCAUCUUACUUUAAAUUAUCAAUUUCGAUCGUUUCUUUAAUUUUGCGUUUAAUUGCUUGAUUGUAUCACAAUAAUUAAGUUCUAUUUAUUAUCUAAUGUAUUAGAAAAGAAUUAAGUAGGGCAUGAUCUAAUUCCCUAGAAUUAGGGCAAGUAUUUGCAGCUUAGACAGGGAUAUAUCUAGUUGUCGUGUUCAACCAACUAUCGUAAGAAAACAUUAAUUCCAUAGAAAUAUAGGUGACAGUCUAUUUUGAUUAGGUGAGUAGUAGUUCGGAAGAAUACCAUGAAUAUUAGUAACUCGAUUAAUUAGCAAUAAUUUAUAAUUUGAAUUAACAGGAAAUAGUUUGAGAACUCGAUAGAAUUGGUGAAUCAAACCAAAAAAAAAAUAUCAGUCUUAAUUAAUCAUUAAUCACCUAUAGUAAUAAGACGUUGACCCCUAUGAAAUGGGGUCAACGAAUUAAAUGGGAAAACCCUACCAAGGUUCUUGGUAGAUGUAUGUAUUUAAUGUCGGUGAAGAUAUAUUUUGUGUGGUGCUGGCAAAAUAACCCAUAUGUUGGUAACCCAAUCAUAUUUUAAUGGAUUGGGUGAAUGGUUUUUUUAUAUGGGUUUGGUUCAUACCUCUAUUCAACCCAUAGAAAUAUGCCUAUUUAUAGUAAGUAAAAUAUGAGAAAAUGUUUCCAAAUAAACUUAUUUUCUUCGAUCAAAAGAUCACAGCAAAGUUUAAAAUAUUUUGAAUAGCAAGGAAAAAUUAUAGUCAAAAAGAAAAUUAUUUGACUCCGCCAAAUAAAUUAUCGUCGGUUAAAAUAGGACGGAGGGAGUAACAACAUUCAACUACAAUCAAAAUGAGUACUUGUAGUUUCACUAGAAUAACACAAUUGCAAUUGGACUUCUCACAGAGUGCCUGUUAGAAGUCCACUUCAAGAAUCCCUCUAUAACCCCAGGGUUUGAGCUGUUGGUUGUCUUGGAAAAUGUCACUUGGUAUGUCAAUUUCUGAUUCAGCAUUGAGAAAUUUAGUUUGGAGGGUUUAACUUUCAUGACAACGCCUUUUGGUGAAGCUAUUUCCACCUUGUAAGAUGAUUUGGCGUCACCAACGUUGGUCACAGUUCUGGUGUAUGUUUGAGGAGUUGAUCCAAGUCUGAUGGAAAAUGAAGGAUAAUUUAGUUGUGCUUCAGGGAUACUUUUUACCUCCGAGCAUUUCACCUUGCGUUGUAACAGGUAACCUACCUCUCGACUUGUGUAUUUCAAACCACAUAAAUAAGGUACAUAGUCCUCGAAUGGUGUAUCAUAAAUCAGUCCUGGAUCAUUUGCCCUCGAUGGAUUAACAUGUCCUGCACCAAUUGCAAAGAUAUCAGCAGGAAUGAGCCUUUCGUCUAGUAUUGGACUAUUUGCAAGGUUUAAUGUGUCAGCGGUUGUCAUAAUUGCAGACUUAAUAGCAGCAGGAGACCAAUCAGGAUGUGCGCUCUUCAGCAGAGCUGCUACGCCACUAAGAUGAGGGCAAGCCAUUGAGGUGCCUGAUAUGAUAUUGAAUGUGGAUUUGGUGUUUUUGUUGUCAUCCACGAAGGUAGGCCAAGCAGCAAGGAUAUUAACACCAGGACCGAUUAUGUCAGGUUUCAAGAUGCCAGGACUAACUCUACUUGGUCCGCGAGAAGAAAAUGAAGCAACUGCAGGAGCAUUUUUAUCCCCAAUUAUCGUUCCUUGGAAUGUGAUUGUAGCAACAGGGUUCGAUGUUGAGUUCAUAUAGGCACGAAUUUUCGUUCCAUCUGCAGCUGAAACAUCCAUUGCUGGAAGAACAUGAGCAUCAGCUGAUUUAGUGACUCUGUCAUCUGGACUGUUGAUGAUAAUCAUGCCAACACCUCCAGCAUCCUUUACAGCUUGUCCUUGAUCAACCCCCGGAACGCCACCAUCUGCCAAACAUAAUACUAUCUUUCCUCUUACAGCAGUGUCAUUGAGUGACCCUGGUUUGCAAUAAGGGGUUUCAGAUUGAUCACUUAUAUUUUCUCCAGCAUCAAAUAGAGUGAAGAAUGUUGAGUUGGAAAUCUUUGGAUGAUAAGCAGAUUCUCCUUCAAAUUCCUCUCUAUUUCCUAGCUUAACAGUAGCUUUCAUCUUUCUAUCAAUAGUGCUGGCGCCUACAGUAAGAAUCCACGGGGCUGUGUUUUCUACCGAGCCUCUGAAUGGACCACUAUUGCCUGCAGAGCAACUUACAAGAAUACCUCUUUCUGUUGCACUAUACGCCCCGAGAGCAAUAUUAUCACUAUGGAAAGGAAGCCUACUACGUUCACCAAGAGACAGAGAAAGAAUAUCUACGCCAUCAGCUAUAGCUGCAUCCAUAGCGGCUAUGAUAUCAAUUUCAGCACAACCAUCAGAAUUGCAUACCUUAUAUAUGGCUAUAUGGGCAAGAGGGGCAACACCAACCGCUGUACCAUUAGCAUUCCCAAAUACAUUAGCACCUUUCACAAAGGCUCCGGCAGCUGUGCCUGCUAUGUGUGUACCAUGUCCUGUAUCGUCUAUCGGGGAACCAUUGCCAAGUUGGUAAGACCUCGCUCCAAUAAGCUUGUUGUUAUACUUGUUAGUGAAAUUAGACUCACAAACUCCAUUCCACUUAGCAGGCGGAGGAGGCAUCCCAACAUCGCUAAAUGAAGGAUGAUCAGGAAAAAUUCCAUUGUCUAUAUCUCCGAUGAUCACACCUUUCCCAUAGUUUGAAUCCUUCCAUACACCAAUGUUCUGUUGCAAACCAAGAAAACUUGGAGUAUGAGUAGUAUGCAAGGACAAAAUCCUCUGUUUCUGAGCAGAGACAAAGCCGCGUUUCUUCUCCAUUUCCUUCACUUGUGCUGCAGUUAAUCUUGCUGCAAAGCCUUUCAUCACACUGUGAUAGGAGUAGAUCAUGCUAGCAGCCUCUUCAUUUCCACUUGAGCUAAUUGUUGUAGUACUUUUAGGCAAAAAAGAAAGGUAAUAGCUCUCUAAAUCCGUUAACGAUGAUUGAGAAGAAAUUUGGCUUUCAACAUGGACUAUAUAAGUCUCGAAAUCACUCUGAAUACUAGGCCAUGGGAAAGAGCAAAAGAUGAAAAUUAGAAAGAUUUUCAAAAAUCCCAUGGCUGCAAAUGAGCUAAAGAAAAUGUAUUUGAUGAACUUUUGUAUUUUGAAGCUACACUAUUUAUAAGUACUUUUACCUUGAACUUUCACUUCCAUUUUUAUUUUGCUCCUUUUGCAAAAUCAAUUUGGAUCAACUCACAACUGUGAAUUCACACUUACUGUGAAUUUGGAGGUCCCUUAUUAAUUUUGACUAGUAUCAUUAUUGUGAACAAGACUUACAAUUUCACUACUAAAAACACGCGAAUUUCUGAUGAAAAAUUCCUAGGAAAACCCAUUUGGAAUAUAAGAUUAACAGAAUAUCCAUAAUAAAUCUUCCACGAACAAAUUUCCCUCCUCCAUCGGAGUUCUCAUCGCGUAUUUUUAUGUUUGGACACCAUGAAAAUGUUGCUUAUAGCAAUGUUCAACUAUAUUAUUAACUAAAAGAUAUUCAAAUAUCACCACCAUUAGUCAUCUUACGAUAUUUUUCCUUGAAGGAAAAUAUCAUAACGUUAUUAAAUUUGGUGGUCCGUCUUCCCUUCCUAUCGCAAUGUAACAUCAAAUAAAUUACUUUAUCUUAAAUUUAAGAUCCAUAUUUUCAUUUAUUAUUUGUUACCAACCAAAUGUGACGCUCAAAUCGGUAUAGAAUAGUCUACAACUUUUUAUGUGGCUAUAGUGGCAAAUCAGUGGCUGUUGCUAUCUUUUUUUUUUUAGAAAUAGAAAUCUAACAAAAAUAAAGUUAUAUCAUUUAAGUGUUCGAGAGAAAGAAUGCGUAAAAUAGAUAAUUAAGCCUUAAUCUCAACUAAGUCGAGUUAUGAGAUUCGUCAUGAAUUAACAAAUUUUAUGCUGACUUGACAAAUCCACCGCAAUUCUCAUCCUUUAUCCAAACUUAAGAUCAAUAAUGUGCACAAGCUCACACUUAGCAAACCUAAAAUGAAAAGAAAAUCAAGAUCUAAAAUAAAUGUAUAAUUGGACAUUGAUGUUUGACGUAUCAAUGGAUCUAAUAAAUAAAUAGGGGAAACCCUACAAAGGUUAUGGGUAGAUGAAUGUAUUAAAUUUCGAUGGAUAUAUACUUGAUAACAUGUUGCCCAUCGGUCAAUCCUACAGAGCCCACUAUUUAAUACUCCCUGUCAUGUUUCGUUUAUUGAAAGUCAAUUUGACUAAUUUUUUAUGUUGAAUCAGAUUAAAUUAAUUAAUAUUUCAAAAAAUUAAAAUUAUAUACGAACGGAUUAAAUAACAUAUUUUGGACACCCUUAACACAACAAGCUGUUAUAGCCAAAAGAUUUUGUUGUGCAAUUUUUGAACACCCUUCUUGAAUUUCUGAUUCCGCCAUUUAAGUCAUGAGGACCUCCGUUUAUUUUGACAACAAAAAUAGGGAUCGUCUUUACUUAAAUGACUUACGACCAAAUUAAUCACUUUUUGGAAUGCAAUAAGGACCAAAUGGAACCAAAACUCCUACAUUAAGGGCAAUUUUGAUCAUUUUAGACCAUGUUCGAGCCUUGAGUAUGAAAAAGUCUUGAUAGGGAGCCGUUUCAGUCCCUCUUGAAUGAGUAUUAUGUGAUGCGAAUUCAUGGUACAAAAAUUAUUUGAUUCUCAAUGUUUAAAGAAAUACUACUAAACAUUCAUUGAGCCCAAUUACAAUCAUAUACUUGCCUGGAGAACUAAAAAAUGUAACAUAAAACAUUUAAUGAAAAGAUACAGCAAUCCACUAUAAUUAAUUGUGACUACUUUCUGCACUUAUUUUACACUUUAGAUUGAAAGCAUUUUAGUUUCAUUCAGCAGACACUCUAACUGCAAUUGGACUUCUUACAGAGUGCCUAUUAGAAUUCCACUUCAAGAAUCCCUCAACAUCACUGGUAGUUGAGAUAUUACUUGUCUUGGUAAAUGUCACUUGGUAAGUCAACUUCUGGUUCAACAUUGAAAAAUUUAGCGCGGAGGGUUCAACUUUCACGACAACUCCUUUUGGUGAAACUAUCUCCACCUUGUAAGAUGAUUUGGCAUCACCAACAUUGGUCACGGUUCUGGUAUAUGUCUGAGGAGUUGAUCCAAGUCUGAUGGAAAAUGAAGGAUAAUUUAGUUGCUCUUCAGUGAUACUUUUUACCUCCGAGCAAUUCACCUUGCGUUGUAACACUUUACCUACCUCCCGAUUUGUGUAGUUCAAACCACAUAAAUAAGGAACGUAGUCCUCGAAUGGUGUAUCAUAAAUUAGUCCUGGAUCACUUGCUCUCGAUGGAUUAACAUGUCCAGCACCAAUUGCAAAGAGAUCCGCAGAAAUGAGCCUUUCGUCUAGUAUUGGACUAUUGGCGAGGUUUAAUGUGUCAGCGGUUGUCAUGAUUGCAGACUUGAUAGCUGCAGCAGACCAAUCAGGAUGUGCGCUCUUCAGCAGAGCUGCGACACCACUAAGGUGAGGGCAAGACAUUGAGGUUCCAGAUAUAAUAUUGAAUGUUGAUUUUGUGUUUUUGUUGUCAUCCACGGAG
RNAcentral lists this long non-coding RNA (7604 nucleotides) under Solanum tuberosum (potato). RNAcentral describes it as "long non-coding RNA (STUB_LNC008585)". Lineage: Eukaryota; Viridiplantae; Streptophyta; Magnoliopsida; Solanales; Solanaceae. The record is from RNAcentral.